UGGGGAAUAUUGCACAAUGGGGGAAACCCUGAUGCAGCAACGCCGCGUGAGUGAAGAAGCAUUUCGGUGCGUAAAGCUCUGUCAGCGGGGAAGAAGGAAGACGGUACCCGACCAAGAAGCCCCGGCUAACUACGUGCCAGCAGCCGCGGUAAUACGUAGGGGGCGAGCGUUAUCCGGAAUUACUGGGUGUAAAGGGAGCGUAGACGGCGCAUUAAGCCUGAAGUGGAAGCCCGGGGCCCAACCCCGGAACUGCUUUGGGAACUGGAGUGCUUGAGUAUGGGAGGGGUAAGCGGAAUUCCUGGUGUAGCGGUGAAAUGCGUAGAUAUCAGGAGGAACACCGGUGGCGAAGGCGGCUUACUGGACCAUAACUGACGUUGAGGCUCGAAAGCGUGGGUAGCGAACAGG
This 405-nucleotide ribosomal RNA is filed under the name uncultured bacterium. RNAcentral's name for it is "bacterial SSU rRNA". It matches the Rfam family "Bacterial small subunit ribosomal RNA", at positions 355 to 776 of the family's 1533-position model. The record is from RNAcentral.